Molecule: ribosomal RNA, 449 nt
Filed under: uncultured bacterium
Lineage: Bacteria
Description: bacterial SSU rRNA
Rfam family: Bacterial small subunit ribosomal RNA
Source: RNAcentral
ACGGGAGGCAGCAGUGGGGAAUAUUGCACAAUGGGCGCAAGCCUGAUGCAGCCAUGCCGCGUGUAUGAAGAAGGCCUUCGGGUUGUAAAGUACUUUCAGUCGUGAGGAAGGUGUUAAGGUUAAUAACCUUAGCAAUUGACGUUAGCGACAGAAGAAGCACCGGCUAACUCCGUGCCAGCAGCCGCGGUAAUACGGAGGGUGCGAGCGUUAAUCGGAAUUACUGGGCGUAAAGGGCACGCAGGCGGUUAAUUAAGUUGGAUGUGAAAUCCCCGGGCUUAACCUGGGAAUGGCAUUCAAGACUGGUUAGCUAGAGUCUUGUAGAGGGGGUAGAAUUCCAUGUGUAGCGGUGAAAUGCGUAGAGAUGUGGAGGAAUACCGGUGGCGAAGGCGGCCCCUGGACAAAGACUGACGCUCAUGUGCGAAAGCGUGGGGAGCAAACAGGAUUAGAUA